GUUCUCGCGAGAAGGAGCUCCCAAACAUGGCUGCCGCCAGUGUCUGUGUUUCUGGAAGGAGCUGCAGGCGACUCCCCCACCACCUCUCCAGGAGCCUCUCCAAGACCCGCAGGCAGUCUGAUGACCACAAAUGGUCUUUAGGAUGUGGACAGUCACUGGAGGCCUGAAAAGGAUGGACAAGGACCUUCAAGGGCUGUACAGCACAGG
Molecule: long non-coding RNA, 207 nt
Filed under: Capra hircus (goat)
Lineage: Eukaryota; Metazoa; Chordata; Mammalia; Artiodactyla; Bovidae
Description: lncRNA (ENSCHIG00000002333.1)
Source: RNAcentral